CACUGGCUCAAGAACGAACGCUGGCGGCGCGUCUUAAGCAUGCAAGUCGAACGGCAAGAGGUAGCAAUACCUCCUAGAGUGGCGGACUGGUGAGUAACACGUGGGUGACAUACCCUUCAGAUGGGGAUAGCUAUUAGAAAUAGUAGAUAAUACCGAAUACGAGCACAGGGGUUAGAGAUCUGUGAGGAAAGGAGCUAAGGCUCCGCUGAAGGAAUGGCCUGCGGCCCAUUAGCUAGUUGGUGAGGUAAGAGCCCACCAAGGCGAUGAUGGGUAUCCGGCCUUAGAGGGUGAACGGACACAUUGGGACUGAGAUACGGCCCAGACUCCUACGGGAGGCAGCAGCUAAGAAUAUUCCGCAAUGGACGAAAGUCUGACGGAGCGACGCCGCGUGGAUGAAGAAGGCCGGAAGGUUGUAAAAUCCUUUUGAAACUGAAGAAUAAGCGUUGUAGGGAAUGACAGCGUGGUGACAGUAGGUUUUGAAUAAGCAACGGCUAAUUACGUGCCAGCCGCCGC
Molecule: ribosomal RNA, 513 nt
Filed under: uncultured bacterium
Lineage: Bacteria
Description: bacterial SSU rRNA
Rfam family: Bacterial small subunit ribosomal RNA
Source: RNAcentral